Molecule: ribosomal RNA, 470 nt
Filed under: Cactophagus sp. CND767
Lineage: Eukaryota; Metazoa; Arthropoda; Insecta; Coleoptera; Curculionidae
Description: eukaryotic LSU rRNA
Source: RNAcentral
ACGUGAACCGUUUAGGGGUAAACCUGAGAAACCCGAAAGGUCGAAGGGAGAAAUUCAUUCGCGUUUCAUCGCANGCGCGCGGCGAUCGCGUGACGGGGGCGUUCGCGCUUUCCGCACCUUUCGUCGUGUUCGAUCCGGCGGCGAACGCGUGCACUUUUCUCCUGGUAGGACGUCGCGAUCCGUUGGGUGUCGGUCUAAGGUGGACGGAGGAGCCCGUGAGCGCGGCCACGUGUCGCCGUUCGCGGACCCGUUCUUUCCCGGCCGACUCGCUCGACGGUAUACGAAAGGUUUAAGGCCGCUCUCUCUUUUUGAGCGUUCGACCCGCGACAAGCGCGCCAGCAGCCGUUGGCUAUCGGACCUAGCGCCGGUACCGACCUCUGGUGACUGUUGGUCGUGGUGUUCUCGAACCGACCUUUUUUAAACCGAUCUGCGACGCUAUAGCUUUGGGUACUUUCAGGACCCGUCUUGAA